RNAcentral lists this ribosomal RNA (795 nucleotides) under uncultured bacterium. RNAcentral describes it as "bacterial SSU rRNA". It matches the Rfam family "Bacterial small subunit ribosomal RNA", at positions 8 to 796 of the family's 1533-position model. The record is from RNAcentral.
AGAGUUUGAUCAUGGCUCAGAUUGAACGCUGGCGGCAUGCCUUACACAUGCAAGUCGGACGGCAGCACGGGAGCAAUCCUGGUGGCGAGUGGCGAACGGGUGAGUAAUACAUCGGAACGUGUCCUGGAGUGGGGGGAUAGCCCGGCGAAAGCCGGAUUAAUACCGCAUACGCUCUGAGGAGGAAAGCGGGGGAUCUUUCGGGACCUCGCGCUCAAGGGGCGGCCGAUGGCAGAUUAGCUAGUUGGUGGGGUAAAGGCCUACCAAGGCGACGAUCUGUAGCUGGUCUGAGAGGACGACCAGCCACACUGGGACUGAGACACGGCCCAGACUCCUACGGGAGGCAGCAGUGGGGAAUUUUGGACAAUGGGCGCAAGCCUGAUCCAGCAAUGCCGCGUGUGUGAAGAAGGCCUUCGGGUUGUAAAACACUUUUGUCCGGAAAGAAAACCUGUGGGCGAAUACCCUGUGGGGAUGACGGUACCGGAAGAAUAAGCACCGGCUAACUACGUGCCAGCAGCCGCGGUAAUACGUAGGGUGCAAGCGUUAAUCGGAAUUACUGGGCGUAAAGCGUGCGCAGGCGGUCCGUUAAGACAGAUGUGAAAUCCCCGGGCUUAACCUGGGAACUGCAUUUGUGACUGGCGGACUCGAGUAUGGCAGAGGGGGGUAGAAUUCCCGUGUAGCAGUGAAAUGCGUAGAGACGUGGAGGAAUACCGAUGGCGAAGGCAGCCCCCUGGGCCAAUACUGACGCUCAUGCACGAAAGCGUGGGGAGCAAACAGGAUUAGAUACCCUAGUAGUCC